AGUGAACGCUGGCGGUAGGCCAACACAUGCAAGUCGAACGGCAGCACAGGAGAGCUUGCUCUCUGGGUGGCGAGUGGCGGACGGGUGGGGAAUACAUCGGAAUCUACUCUGUCGUGGGGGAUAACGUAGGGAAACUUACGCUAAUACCGCAUACGACCUACGGGUGAAAGCAGGGGACCUUCGGGCCUUGCGCGAUUGAAUGAGCCGAUGUCGGAUUAGCUAGUUGGCGGGGUAAAGGCCCACCAAGGCGACGAUCCGUAGCUGGUCUGAGUGGAGUAUCAGCCACACUGGAACUGAGACACGGGCCAGACUCCUACGGGAGGCAGCAGUGGGGAAUAUUGGACAAUGGGCGCAAGCCUGAUCCAGCCAUACCGCGUGGGUGAAGAAGGCCUUCGGGUUGUAAAGCCCUUUUGUUGGGAAAGAAAUCCAGCUGGCUAAUACCCGGUUGGGAUGACGGUACCCAAAGAAUAAGCACCGGCUAACUUCGUGCCAGCCGCCGCCGUAA
This 505-nucleotide ribosomal RNA is filed under the name uncultured bacterium. Its description in RNAcentral is "partial 16S ribosomal RNA". It matches the Rfam family "Bacterial small subunit ribosomal RNA", at positions 29 to 523 of the family's 1533-position model. The record is from RNAcentral.